Pseudopipra pipra is the source of this 4539-nucleotide long non-coding RNA. RefSeq lists it as uncharacterized. NCBI's taxonomy places the organism in Eukaryota, Metazoa, Chordata, Aves, Passeriformes, Pipridae. The transcript has 2 exons. The record is from RefSeq and is a predicted model, not a curated record.
CCGCUAUGCCCCGUUCCUCAGGGAAGUCCCGCCCCGCCCCUUCCACAGCCCGUGGAGUGUCCAGGGAGCGCCGGGAGCCGGAUCCCGAGAUCCCACAGUGCUUCAUCUGCUCACACCUCAUCCCAGAGCACACGGUACAGAGUUGCGUCCAGAUCGCUCUGGAACCACCCCCAGCGAGGGAAACUCCACACCCUCUCUGGGCAACCUGUUCAGUGCUCGGUCACUGAACAGCAAAGAAGUUCUUCCUCAUGUCCAGGUGGAACUCCCUUGGCAUCAGUUCCUGCCCGAGGCCUCCAAUUGCUGGGCACUCCUGAGCAGAGCCUGGUCCAUCCUCUGCCCCCUCCCUGCACACACUGACACACAUGGAUGAGGUCCCCUCUCAGUGUCUCCUCUGGAGGCUGAACAGCCCCAGCUCCCUCAGCCUUUCCUCCCCAGGGAGAUGCUCCAGUCCCUGAAUCAUCUCCACAGCCUCUGCUGGACCCACUCCAGGAGCUCCAUGUCCCUCCUGUCCUGAGGAGCCCAGGACUGGACACAGCACUCCAGAUAUGCCUCACAGGGCUGAGCAGCGGGGCAGGAUCACCCCCCUCGACCUGCUGGCAAUGCUCUUCCCAGUGCCCCCCCAGGAUUCCAUCUCUCCAGCAGAAACCUUGGCGCUCAGUCCCCUCUGGCUGUGGGGACUCACCGAGGGGCUCAUAGGUGUGAGGGGUCUCAGAGUCAGGAGUUAAAGUGGCCUUAGUAGGUGCUCAAACACAAAAAAGCAGAAUUAAGUGGAACCAUCAUAAUAAGAGGCUUUUGGAUUACUAGAGCUGUCCUGUGCAGUGCCAGGGCCCAGAAUUCCAUGGUCCUCAUUAGUCCUUUCCACCUCAGGGUAUCCCAUCAUUCUAUGAUUUAUCUCCUUCUGUCCCCCUGCCAAAGUACAAAAGUGAGAGUAUUAAAUCCUGCUGUGGUUUUAGUGCUACCUGAGCAUAAACCAGAGCAGCAGCAGUGACAGGGAAAGCUGUUAUCCCAAGGAUGCAGUGGUACAGACACCAUGCAAAUCCAGCUGCACAAGAUCAGAAGACAAAGAAGGUAAAUCUGGGAGUUCAGACUGAAAGAAUGACAAAGUACAAGCCAUCUUCUGCUUCUGUCACAGCAUGGAGCAUGUGGAACAGAGGGAAAGUUUAUCUUGAUGUCAUCCCUUGACUUGAGGAGAGUUGCUGAUGGAGGAGGACUUGCUUGGCAGACACAUUGGAUUUGUUUGACCUCAUUAGUCUGUAUGUGGAGACAAGGAACUUUGGAGCUCUCUGCACUAAAGCAGAAUUCUUACAACCUCAAGACCUGUGAGAGUAUCCACAUGUCUCCUUCACCUGCAGGCAGAGCCAGAGAAUUCACCAUGGAGCUCCCUGAGCACUGUGUACCUUCCUGCUGAGACUGAUUUUCAGGAGCACUGGAUUUGGUAUCCUGUAUCAUUCCACUUGCACUACCAAGACUGGACUGCUCAGCUCUGUACUCUGUGACUGAGCUUUAAUGUGGAUAACCUGGAGUGGGUUUCAAACCAUCCAGUGACAACAGAUUUGUCUCCAGGCAAACUAGGUCAGAUAUCCACCAUGAACUCAGAGCCAGAUUCAAUGUCUCCAGCGUCAACAUGCUCACACUCUGUACAAGGCUUGGAAGUCACGACAUAAAGCUUCUGCCUCCAGAGGCCAUGGUGUUAUUGAGAGAAUGGCCUCACAGAGAGAAAACAUGAAGGCAAAAGUCUCAAAGGAUCCUUCCAGAAGAAAGAGGAACUCUUGAAAGACUUUCAGAAGAGACUUAUCUUCAAAAAGGAAUGCUCUGUGUCUCUUCUGUUAGUAUUUUUUUUUUUUUUUUUUUUCUAGAUCUGGCAGGGCUCCAGUUUGGAGCCUUUUUGGCACAUUUACAGGCACAUUGUGGACAUAACACCCCAUUUUCUUGAUAUGGCCAGUGGUGGCAAAGCAGCUGCCAGUAAGAUAAAACUCCAUCAGCUGCUAAUGGAGGAGGGGAAAUUGUCACUUGGGAUUAACUUUGAAUAUUCCAGGACAUUUUCACCAGGCCCAUGUUCCUCUUGGCUUGCUGUAGUUUUGUUCAGCUUCCUCCAAGAAGCACAGCCAUGUGCAACCAUUUCUUCCUGGUCUGUCUUCCUCCUCCUCUUUCCCUCCUGCUAAGCUGAGACAGGGUGGAAAAAGAGCCUUGGCAAAGCUGGGCAUGGUGGGCUAAAGGCAAUUCUUGACCCCAUGGCCAAAUUUCCAGCAUUUCUAAGCUUAAAAGCAGAGCUGAAAGGAAGUGCCAUUUUCCAUCUGGGCAUGAGUAAGGCAGGUCAUGUUUCCAUGCUUUUUGCCUUUACAUAGCAGCUACACUCCUGGAAAAGGCUGAGCAUGGGCUCUACUGCAGGAGGUAAAUAGGAUGCAGCAUCCUUUUCCAUGUAGUUUGCCAUAAGGCAAAUAAUUCCUACCCUCUUUUCCUCUUGUUUUCCUGCACCUGAGGAGCCUCUUCUCCUCCCUCAGAGAAGUCAGCAUAGUCUGACCUCAAUAUAACAUCGCAUGCACCCCUUUGUACAGGUCUGAAAAAGAAAGUGUCUGGGACCUGUGGGGUUGGGAAUGAACACACCGGGAGCUUCCCAUUACAUUACACAGUGUCCCAGAGGGCAGGCUCUCAGGAAAAUAUCUGGAAGGUGUGUUGGAGCGUGAAUACUCACAAACACAGAAUCUGUGCCUAGGAAGCUGAAGCACAGCAACAUUGUGGGGCAGGGCCUCUAUAGGUCAUUAUGUCUAAACACCCACUUGAACUGGGGCUACCACCAACUCUGCAGUAGGUCCUGAAACCCUCCCAAGGCAUCUACUCCAGUCUUUUUCCACCCUCCCACCAAAAACAUAUCCCAAUGUCCCAUGUGGACUACCCAGAACAGUUCACGGCCUCCACAUCUGCCACUGCUGAGGAGAGUUCAGCUCUCCUGUGGCUUGUCAUUUUUGCAAUUCCUCUCCAAGUAGUUUUCUUUUCUCUUUAAUUCCUACCAGUCACAGGUAGGAGAGUAGACUGAGGAGAUCCAGGGACAUUGGUUUUUCUUUAGGUUCCAAUCCCUUCUUUUCAUUUCGAAGCAUUUGUAUUCUAUGUUACAAACCUAUUAAUCCACUGGUAAACAUUUAAACCUCAGAGCUGGUGCCGGGAGUUGUUUCUGCAGCUGAUAAUCCCCCAAAUGCUCUUCAGUAAUGAACAGCAAGAGGUGUUGCUACUUUGUUAUUCCCCGAAAGUGGUGUUGGCUGCAAUCUCUAAUAGCCCUGAGCAUAUCUGAAAGCUCCUUUUUCCGAUAUAUUCCCAUGGAUAUUGUGAAGUUCAACUCUAUUCUCAGCUUCUGGGAUCCCCUGGAAGCUUUCUGGAGAGCUCUAGGACCAGUGCAAUGUAUUCCUGUUAAACUAUCUGCCUGAGAGAUCAUGGAUGUCCUGGAGUCUGAGUUUAGAGCUCUUGAUGGCACAGUGAAUGGUGCAGAGAUUUAGUCAGGCCUUUUAUUGCCUUUUAUUGACCAUUAGAGGUUUUCUGGCGACAGGAUGCAGGUUCUGAACUGCUGUCAAUGUGUUUUUUAGGCUGCCCUUGAGGAUGGUUUUGCUCUCAUCUGGUCUCACCUGAUUUUGCUUUUUUAGAUGAUUUUUUUAAGACAUCACCUGCUGCCAAAACAGGCAUAGAACAUACUUAAGGUGUUAAAAUAAUUCCUUAAAGUCCUCUACGAAAUAUUCAUGAAACUGAACUCUGCAACCACCUCUGCUUUCCUCUCACACAAGAAAAAACCUAUUUCAAGCAGGGUUUUUAUCCUACUACUGUUCCAACUUGUCAGAGGAAGCCACACCAUUAAUUUUAGCCAAGUGAUCACUACACUUGUGAUUUUUUUUUGAGCUUGGUUUUUUAUAUCCAUCCUUCAUUUGAUUGCAAGUUCACAUGCUGCAUUUUAAGCAAGAAAUUCAGAGUCUCCCAGCUACGUGAACAGAGCUAAUCUUGUCCAAGAACAGACUAUCACUACAUUAUAAAUAAUUGUCUGCAGGCCAGGAUUUCUUUACUACUCUUGAUUAGGUUUUGUUGCCAGUAAAAACAACAUUCACUAGCUGGCCUGUCAAAAAUAUCCUGAUGCAGCAUAAGUAAAUCCAAGAAGCCAUUGGUCUAUUGCCCUGUCCAAGAACUGUUUUGAAUAGGGAAGAAUUGCAAAAAAAACCACUUGAGAACUCCUGAAAAAGAGAGCAUUCACCAAGGAAUGAUUCAUAAGUAACCUAUUGAUAAAGCUGCUUCAUGCUCCAAGAGUUACUACAUCUCGUCCAGCAAUUUUGACUUAUCUAAUGGUAAAACUUCCUGUUUUUGUUUUAAAUGGCUGUAAUUUCCUCCCCUGAUGUCUGAAGCACCACGCAAUGCCUCCAGAGACUGGGGGGCUGCAUGAGAGCAAGGCCAUGAAGCAGGUGACAGAUUUCUGCUGCCCUUGCCUGCAAUAAUGUUUGCAGGUGUGCAUUAACAUGAGGGAGGCAAUCAAAAAUAAAAGUAACAAAUGCAUCGCAAUUAAAAAUG